CCUACGGGGUGCAGCAGUGAGGAAUAUUGGUCAAUGGGCGGGAGCCUGAACCAGCCAAGUCGCGUGAAGGAAGAAGGUACUUAGUAUUGUAAACUUCUUUUGUCGGGGAACAAAGGCGGAGACGCGUCUCCGGAUGAGUGUACCCGAAGAAAAAGCAUCGGCUAACUCCGUGCCAGCAGCCGCGGUAAUACGGAGGAUGCGAGCGUUAUCCGGAUUUAUUGGGUUUAAAGGGUGCGCAGGCGGGAGAUCAAGUCAGCGGUAAAAUUUCGGGGCUCAACCCCGGCCGGCCGUUGAAACUGGUUUUCGAGCGUUGGAGAGAAGUAUGCGGAAUUCGUGGUGUAGCGGUGAAAUGCAUAGAUAUCACGAAGAACUCCGAUUGCGAAGGCAGCAUACCGGCUCCAUACUGACGCUGAGGCACGAAAGCGUGGGGAUCGAACAGGAUUAGAUACCCGGGUAGUC
RNAcentral lists this ribosomal RNA (459 nucleotides) under uncultured bacterium. Its description in RNAcentral is "partial 16S ribosomal RNA". It matches the Rfam family "Bacterial small subunit ribosomal RNA", at positions 338 to 795 of the family's 1533-position model. The record is from RNAcentral.